Molecule: long non-coding RNA, 838 nt
Organism: Homo sapiens (human)
Lineage: Eukaryota; Metazoa; Chordata; Mammalia; Primates; Hominidae
Source: Ensembl
CCCUAGGAAUCUAAUACACUGCCCAUGUAAGUGAAUAUUAGCUAUUUGCUGAUAAGACAAGAAUUUCUGGUUAUAAUAAAUAUACUGGAAUAGAAUGUGGUUUCUUUUUUUUUGAGAUGGAGUCUCGCUCCAGUCACCAGGCUGGAAUGCAGUAGCGUGAUCUCGGCUCACUGUAACCUCUUCCUCCCAGGUUCAAGCAAUUCUCCUGCCUCAGCCUCCCGAGUAGCUGAGACUACAGGCGCCCGCAACCAUCCCCGACUAAUUUUUGUAUUUUUAGUUGAGACGGGGUUUCACCAUAUUGGCCAGGCUGGUCUUGAACUCCUGACCUUGUGAUCCAUCUGCCUCGGUCUCCCAAAGUGUUGGGAUUACAGGCGUGAGCCACAACACCCGGCCGAAUGUGGUUUCUUAGUGAGUCCUUUACUCAAGGCUGGAAUUAAACAAAGGAGAUGAAUCACGAGCUCUAUGAUAAUAGUCUAAUAGUCUAAUCUAGCCCUCUUAAGUGCAGAGAUGUUUUCCCUCUGAACACCCGUGUGUUUCAGCUCUGUUCCUCUUCCAAUGCCCUUCCACAGGGAACAAAUCCUUUCUUGACCACCAAUGGCUGCAUGACUUAUCCUGAGAAGAUCAUGGGGAUUUUGGAUGCCAGGUCAACCCUUACACUCAGCAAGGAAGUGGAAGGGCCUCAGUUUCAAACACUUUGUAAACACAGAGGUUAGGUCAUUUCCUCUCCAAUAAGCCAGAAGCUGAGCUGUCCCUGGCAGCAAACUGUGUGUCAAAUGCCUGGCGGGUUUCAGGUUUUACUAACUCCAGAGUGACGAAACAUCACCACCUCUAAUGCCAG